AUUUUCUUAAUAUAUAUAAAGUAUAUUUGACUUCCAAUCAAAAAGUCUAGAUAAUCUAGAGAAAAUA
RNAcentral lists this transfer RNA (67 nucleotides) under Austinograea rodriguezensis. Its description in RNAcentral is "tRNA-Gly". The record is from RNAcentral. Lineage: Eukaryota; Metazoa; Arthropoda; Malacostraca; Decapoda; Bythograeidae.